Molecule: ribosomal RNA, 379 nt
Filed under: uncultured eukaryote
Lineage: Eukaryota
Description: partial 18S ribosomal RNA
Rfam family: Eukaryotic small subunit ribosomal RNA
Source: RNAcentral
CAAUAGCGUAUAUUUAAGUUGUUGCAGUUAAAAAGCUCGUAGUUGGAUUUCGGAUGGGAUUUGCCGGUCCGUCGUUACGGUGUGCACUGGCCAGUCCUAUCUUGUUGUCGGGGACUAGCUCCUUGGAUUCACUUCCUGGGACUAGGAGCUGACGAGGUUACUUUGAGUAAAUUAGAGUGUUCAAAGCAAGCCUACGCUCUGAAUACAUUAGCAUGGAAUAACACGAUAGGACUCUGGCUUAUCUUGUUGGUCUGUGAGACCAGAGUAAUGAUUAAGAGGGACAGUCGGGGACAUUCGUAUUUCAUUGUCAGAGGUGAAAUUCUUGGAUUUAUGAAAGACGAACUUCUGCGAAAGCAUUUGUCAAGGAUGUUUUCAUUAA